Molecule: long non-coding RNA, 1044 nt
Organism: Eleginops maclovinus (Patagonian blennie)
Lineage: Eukaryota; Metazoa; Chordata; Actinopteri; Perciformes; Eleginopidae
Exons: 4
Source: RefSeq, a predicted model, not a curated record
UGAAGAUGAGCCUUUUGUGGAACAAGUCAAAGAAAGGUGGCCAGCCUUGUUCACAGAACAGCAGAUUGAAGCAGAAUUUGCUCGGCUUACAUCCGUUGACCUGAAGAGCUCCUUCUUCUCUGGGCUGGACCAGUACCUGACAAGGUUCCUUGAGCUGUACAAAGCCAAGAGUAGCAUCGUGGGAUUGACCAGGCUGAUGAGCUGUCUUAAUGAUGAUAGCUCCACACAAACAAAGAGGACCAUUGUUCUACUGGGCCUUCCCCACUUCCUUAAAGAAGAUCCCUCACGUGUAUUUAAGACAAUACAGGCCACAGAUGAUCAAGCCACGGUCUGUAAGGGUAUGAAAGUCGGUGUUUUGAUGGUGAAAGACGGAGAAGAGGACAUUGCCACAGCAGUCGUCCUUGAGGAAGAAGUGAUCUUGCCCGAAGUGAAGGACGUCCCUCAUGCCAUUGCCUUGCUAAUGGGUCUUCUUUUUGCCCUCAACAUAGACUAUCCUAAAGAAUUGAGGUAUACAUUUGAAGUUACUCAGAAGGUCCUGAUGAACAUCGGUGGAGGGCAGUGUUCUUCACUUGUCCAUGGCUUGAGAAACAGACUCUUGCGAAAAACUUUGUAAUAUGGCAUAAGACGUUUGAGCUCAACAUGGUUAAACUCGGUUGGUUGAAUUGUGCAAAAAUCUUUUUUUGCUUGUUUGAUUUUUAACAAGGUUUUUACCCGAGUAAGAUAAGAAGACUGGUGUAAAAUGUUCUCUCUGCAUUGCCAAACGUCUAAAACUGUCAGAUUUAAUAAUAGCGGUAAAUUAUCUUUUGUAAUCACAAUGGAAUAAAAAAGACCCCAAGAAACAAUUAGGCAAUAUCUGAGAAGGAGGUAAGAAUGGCUGGUGGAAUAAAGUUUCCCUGACUUGUAAAUGUAAAUGCAUACACACACACACAAGCUUGAAUGUUUUGAAUGCUCAGCAUCUAACCCCAGUGUGAUAUGACCGAAGGAGGUCUGUAGUUCUGUGUGAACCAAAUGUUUGUCUGGUCAAUAAAAAAGUAGUGUGAUGCA